UACAGAGGUCUCAAGCGUUGUUCGGAUUCAUUGGGCGUAAAGGGUGCGUAGGCGGCGCGGUAAGUCGGGUGUGAAAUCUCGGAGCUUAACUCCGAAACUGCAUUCGAUACUGCCGUGCUUGAGGACUGGAGAGGAGACUGGAAUUCCUGGUGUAGCGGUGAAAUGCGCAGAUAUCAGGAGGAACACCGGUGGCGAAGGCGGGUCUCUGGGCCGAUACUGACGCUGAGACGCGAAAGCGUGGGGAGCGAACAGG
Molecule: ribosomal RNA, 253 nt
Filed under: uncultured bacterium
Lineage: Bacteria
Description: partial 16S ribosomal RNA
Rfam family: Bacterial small subunit ribosomal RNA
Source: RNAcentral